RNAcentral lists this ribosomal RNA (829 nucleotides) under Bacillus sp. 1038B12_12AMannit. RNAcentral's name for it is "bacterial SSU rRNA". It matches the Rfam family "Bacterial small subunit ribosomal RNA", at positions 56 to 865 of the family's 1533-position model. Lineage: Bacteria; Bacillati; Bacillota; Bacilli; Caryophanales; Bacillaceae. The record is from RNAcentral.
UGCAAGUCGAGCGGACCGACGGGAGCUUGCUCCCUUAGGUCAGCGGCGGACGGGUGAGUAACACGUGGGUAACCUGCCUGUAAGACUGGGAUAACUCCGGGAAACCGGGGCUAAUACCGGAUGCUUGAUUGAACCGCAUGGUUCAAUCAUAAAAGGUGGCUUUYAGCUACCACUUACAGAUGGACCCGCGGCGCAUUAGCUAGUUGGUGAGGUAACGGCUCACCAAGGCGACGAUGCGUAGCCGACCUGAGAGGGUGAUCGGCCACACUGGGACUGAGACACGGCCCAGACUCCUACGGGAGGCAGCAGUAGGGAAUCUUCCGCAAUGGACGAAAGUCUGACGGAGCAACGCCGCGUGAGUGAUGAAGGUUUUCGGAUCGUAAAACUCUGUUGUUAGGGAAGAACAAGUACCGUUCGAAUAGGGCGGCACCUUGACGGUACCUAACCAGAAAGCCACGGCUAACUACGUGCCAGCAGCCGCGGUAAUACGUAGGUGGCAAGCGUUGUCCGGAAUUAUUGGGCGUAAAGCGCGCGCAGGCGGUUUCUUAAGUCUGAUGUGAAAGCCCCCGGCUCAACCGGGGAGGGUCAUUGGAAACUGGGGAACUUGAGUGCAGAAGAGGAGAGUGGAAUUCCACGUGUAGCGGUGAAAUGCGUAGAGAUGUGGAGGAACACCAGUGGCGAAGGCGACUCUCUGGUCUGUAACUGACGCUGAGGCGCGAAAGCGUGGGGAGCGAACAGGAUUAGAUACCCUGGUAGUCCACGCCGUAAACGAUGAGUGCUAAGUGUUAGAGGGUUUCCGCCCUUUAGUGCUGCAGCAAACGCAUUAAGC